AUGGAGAUGGUGAAGGAGGUUUUUGGGUACGAGGUGAAGUACGGGAAGGCAUGGAAGGCCAAGCAAGCUGCCUUUGAGAUAUUGUAUGGUGGUUGGGAAGAAUCAUACAACCACCUCGCGAUGGUGUUGAAAGCGAUGGCGGCAGAAAAUCCUGGCAUGUACUAUAUGAUGGAGCCAGAUGGCAUGAGAACAAGGAUAUACAACGAUGCAAACGUUCGUAUAUUUGAACUUGAUGAGCACGGUGGAAUGUCGCGUGACGGCAUGCCAUAUGGAGGUGGCUCCUUCAAGGUUUAUCUUAAGAUGGGCGCGUGUUCAUGCGAGAGGCCUACAUUUUAUCAUCUCCCGUGCUCGCACUUGAUGGCUGCAUCUCGCACUAGAAAUGUGAGUGUCAACAUGACCAACAAUGUAAGAUUGGAGGAGUAUUCGAUCGAUGCGGUCAAAAAUACAUGGACUGCGAGGUUUCAUCCCUAUCUAGACCAAUCUAAAUGGCCGGAAUACCAUGGACCCCCAAUAUACCCUAAUUUGGAAAUGAAGGUGGUGACACGUGGACGAUGGAAGACAAAGCGUUUCUUGGGUGACAUGGAUGAUUGGGGUGGUGGAUUCCAUAAGGAUCGGGGGAGCCAACAUUUCGCAGAGCCUCGUGAUAUCAACCAUUGA
Molecule: ribosomal RNA, 657 nt
Filed under: Triticum aestivum (bread wheat)
Lineage: Eukaryota; Viridiplantae; Streptophyta; Magnoliopsida; Poales; Poaceae
Description: partial small subunit ribosomal RNA
Source: RNAcentral